UACGGAGGGGGCAAGCGUUGUUCGGAUUUAUUGGGUGUAAAGGGUGUGUAGGCGGCAUGGUAAGUGAGAUGUGAAAUCUUCGGGCUCAACCCGGAAACUGCAUUUCAUACUGCUAAGCUAGAGUACCAAAGAGGCAAAUGGAAUUCUUGGUGUAAGAGUGAAAUCUGCAGAUAUCAAGAAGAACACCAGUAGCGAAGGCGAUUUGCUGGGUGGAUACUGACGCUGAAACACGAAAGCUAGGGUAGCGAACGGG
RNAcentral lists this unclassified non-coding RNA (253 nucleotides) under uncultured bacterium. Its description in RNAcentral is "contains 16S-23S intergenic spacer region". It matches the Rfam family "Bacterial small subunit ribosomal RNA", at positions 524 to 776 of the family's 1533-position model. The record is from RNAcentral.